Molecule: long non-coding RNA, 2602 nt
Filed under: Equus caballus (horse)
Lineage: Eukaryota; Metazoa; Chordata; Mammalia; Perissodactyla; Equidae
Description: lncRNA (ENSECAG00000059237.1)
Source: RNAcentral
AUUAUUUCUAGCUGUACAUGGCCAAGUGGUGGGAGAAAAUCAGACUCUGAAACAUUUUAAUGGUCUUUUAAGUUUAAGAUGAGAACAAGUUUCAAGGAACUCUGGGAUCCUCUUUUUCAUGUUCGGUGGUGAAGCAGAUGGCUUCAACCAAAGCGUAUGCGUUCUUAUAGGAAGUCUUUUGGAUGGUGCAUUCACUAGGAGGUGCUCUGGGUGUGCUCUUGUUUGGGAAAAACUGAAUCCUAGGUUCUAAACAAGAAGAGAAUGCACUUCCAAAAGGAUCUGCACACUUUCUGCUUUGCAGGGGAUCAGGUUUCAAUGUUAUGGUGAGACUUUCUUUAAGGAAAGUCCAAAUCAUUGCUACCUAUGUAGAUAGAGCCUGGCCAGGAAUGGGGCAACUCCCCAACUGUGGGUGUAUUUGUUCACUAUUGAGAAAAACAAAACUGGGUGUGAGCAUGGGAGUUGCACAGCAGUAGCUCAAACCUGGCCUCGCUUUGACAGACACCAAGCUCAGCAAUUGCAACUCCUAUUCUUCAUUUCCCAGGAUGGAGUGUUGCUCCUUGGGGAACUCUGUGUCCCUUUCUCCUCUCUUGUCUCCCAUUUCUCCCUCUGGCUAAGCCUUUCCCUUCCUCUUCGGGUCACCUGUAGACCCUUUCUAGCUUGAAUUAGGAAAGAGGAACAAGUGUGGGUAAUCCUAUAGCACAAAGAGCUGCCUCCCCCAGGACUGAGAAGACUAGCUGCCCCAGGGAAGGAUUCACAUGAAGCUUGGCCAGUGUCUUAACCCCAACUGCUCCAUGGCGCCCUCGAUCCAAACCUGUCUUCUCUCUGACAGUCAACAGAGAUCAUCUCUGGGACCAACUUCAUAAAGCCAAUUUAGACCAGUGCUGUCCAACAGAGAGAGAAUACAAACCACAAAUGCAAUUUUAAAUAUCCUUGUAGUCCCAUUUUUAGAAGUCCAAAGAAACAGGUAAAAUUAAUUUUAACACAUAUUUUAACCCAAUAUAAAAAUAUUAUUGUUUCAACAUGGCAUCAAUAUAAAAAAUUACUGAAAUAUUUUACGUUCUUUUUUCCCCAAUGAAGUCUUCAAGAUCCAAUGUGAAUUUUGUUCUUAGAAAACAUCUCAGUUUAGACCAGCCAUAUUUCCAUGGCUCAAUAACCACAUGUGGCUACUGGCUACCAUGUAGGACAGCAAAGAUUUAGAUUCUGUUAGAAGACAGAAUGGGAUCGCCCUCACCCAUGAGUCACUCAGAUCUCCCAGCUGACAGAGGCUGGAGGUUGGUGUUGGACCAGAGGAGAAAGCACAGGAGUGAUGUCCAGGCUGCCAUCCUGGCCUCUGGAAGUUCUGCUUCACCUGCUUAAUCAGAAGACAGGACCACUGCUUGUCAAAUACAUGUCACAUCUGCCCCAGAGGGUGUCAGCACUGCCCCUGGGAAUGGCACCAAUGACCUGUCGAAGUUCUAGAGGCCAAAGCAGGUCACUUUCUUUAGUUACAGGGGUGUCAACUUAUCCCUUAUCCAGAUGCCUUUUAUCUUACAGGGUGGGAGUGGGGGCAGACAGGCCUUCUUUUGGUCAAGAAUGAAGAUCUCUACAACCUUUUGUCAUCUGGUCCAGUCACCUAGUGGCAUCUCACCAAUAUUUGGAGCUGUUUUGUCAAUCCCUUAAUUUCUUUAAAUUUGUAUCUUAAAGUCAAAUGCUAAAAGGGAAUACACUGGGAAGAGCAGUGGCCACAGGCAGACUGGGCUCCGAGGAGGUGGUGGUGACAAGCCUGUCCCUUGCCCUGGGACUAGGUCCAUCAUUGCCUACCUCUCCUCCCCGUCCAGAGACCUUUCUUAGAGCUGAAGAAACCUCUUUUGUUCGGGAAAAAGACAAGCCGUGAGAUCUUAGUGCAGAGAACAGAAUAAAUGCAAGCAAGCAACCCUGGGCACUCUCAAAGUCUUUCAGAGAGCCAGUGUGACAAGGUUUGACUCAUUUAAAAUAUAACACUCUGAGCCCUGUGUUACUAAGCAAAAGAAAAUGAGCCAAUUUGGUGAGUAUGUCAUUACACAGGGACCAUAGCUGACAAAACUCUUCAACACCUGGAGUGUUUAUGGUCCACCAGAUUAUUGCUCAGUCAAUAUAAAUUUAUUUACCUUUACUUUAAUUUGCAUAGUGCUUUCUGAUUGGUUAGAUGAGGAGUGGUGUGUACUGCAGGAUUCCAACAUCGCCUCUGCCCUCGGAGGUAGCAAUUCCUGUGGUUAUUGGUGCUAAAAUAAGAUUAAAUAUUAUGUUAAUUUGUUCUGAUACGAUGUGAAUAAAUGUAUUGUUUAAUCUUAACAAGAAUGCUACAUCUUAUCAGAUCUAUUGUACUGUCUGUUUCUUCUCAUAAUUAAUUAAUUACAGGAAAGGUGAUCCAAACCAGAUCUUGAAACUAUUGUGCUAUUGAGAGGUGAAUUUAACAGGGAAGUGGGAGGGGGGAUGAAAAGGGAAAUUGCCAGGUUCCUGUGACUUUGCAAGGACUGAGGAAGCAGAGAGCAUUUGGGGACUUCACUGACACUGACUGCAUCUUGCAAUUUUCUUUUUCAAAUUGGCAGAAAUAUUGUAUUUCCAUCGAUUGAAGAAAAAAGUG